RNAcentral lists this non-coding RNA (29 nucleotides) under Rattus norvegicus (Norway rat). Lineage: Eukaryota; Metazoa; Chordata; Mammalia; Rodentia; Muridae. The record is from RNAcentral.
UUGACAUAGAUGAGGCUACGGGACCAGUA